Molecule: ribosomal RNA, 29 nt
Filed under: Tulasnella calospora
Lineage: Eukaryota; Fungi; Basidiomycota; Agaricomycetes; Cantharellales; Tulasnellaceae
Also listed under: 1 other name
Description: partial 18S ribosomal RNA
Source: RNAcentral
AACCUGCGGAAGGAUCAUAGUAAUCGUCU